Long non-coding RNA from Oncorhynchus keta (chum salmon), 203 nucleotides. RefSeq lists it as uncharacterized. Lineage: Eukaryota; Metazoa; Chordata; Actinopteri; Salmoniformes; Salmonidae. The record is from RefSeq and is a predicted model, not a curated record. The transcript has 3 exons.
CCCAGGAAAGGUGGAGACGUAAACCCAGGAAAGGUGGAGACGUAAACCCAGGAAAGGUGGAGACGUAAACCCAGGAAAGGUGGAGACGUAAACCCAGAAGGUGGAGACCCAGAAGGUGUGAGACGUAAACCCAGGAAAGGUGGAGACGUAAACUCAGAAGGUGGAGACCCAGAAGGUGGAGACGUAAACCCAGAAGGUGGAGA